UAUAAGACUGGGAUAACUUCGGGAAACCGGAGCUAAUGCCGGAUAACAUUUGGAACCGCAUGGUUCUAAGGUAAAAGAUGGUUUUGCUAUCACUUAUAGAUGGACCCGCGCCGUAUUAGCUAGUUGGUAAGGUAACGGCUUACCAAGGCAACGAUACGUAGCCGACCUGAGAGGGUGAUCGGCCACACUGGAGCUGAGACACGGUCCAGACUCCUACGGGAGGCAGCAGUAGGGAAUCUUCCGCAAUGGACGAAAGUCUGACGGAGCAACGCCGCGUGAGUGAUGAAGGUUUUCGGAUCGUAAAACUCUGUUAUUAGGGAAGAACAAAUGUGUAAGUAACUGUGCACAUCUUGACGGUACCUAAUCAGAAAGCCACGGCUAACUACGUGCCAGCAGCCGCGGUAAUACGUAGGUGGCAAGCGUUGUCCGGAAUUAUUGGGCGUAAAGCGCGCGUAGGCGGUUUCUUAAGUCUGAUGUGAAAGCCCACGGCUCAACCGUGGAGGGUCAUUGGAAACUGGGAAACUUGAGUACAGAAGAGGAAAGUGGAAUUCCAUGCGUAGCGGUGAAAUGCGCAGAGAUAUGGAGGAACACCAGUGGCGAAGGCGACUUUCUGGUCUGUAACUGACGCUGAUGUGCGAAAGCGUGGGGAUCAAACAGGAUUAGAUACCCUGGUAGUCCACGCCGUAAACGAUGAGUGCUAAGUGUUAGGGGGUUUCCGCCC
This 721-nucleotide ribosomal RNA is filed under the name uncultured Staphylococcus sp. Its description in RNAcentral is "bacterial SSU rRNA". It matches the Rfam family "Bacterial small subunit ribosomal RNA", at positions 131 to 838 of the family's 1533-position model. The record is from RNAcentral. Lineage: Bacteria; Bacillati; Bacillota; Bacilli; Caryophanales; Staphylococcaceae.